GCUAGAGGUGAAAUUCUUGGAUUGACCGAAGACAAACUACUGCGAAAGCAUUUGAUCCAGGACGUUUUCAUUGAUCAAGGUCUAAAGUUAAGGGAUCGAAGACGAUUAGAUACCGUCGUAGUCCUAACCACAUACUAUGCCGACUAGAGAUUGGGCUUGUUUAUUAUGACUAGCUCAGCAUCUUAGCGAAAGUAAAGUUUUUGGGUUCUGGGGGGAGUAUGGACACAAGGCUGAAACAUAAAGGAAUUGACGGAAGGGCACCACCAGGAGUGGAGCCUGCGGCUUAAUUUGACUCAACACGGGGAAACUCACCAGGUCCAGACAUAGUAAGGAUUGACAGAUUGAAAGCUCUUUCUAGAUUCUAUGGGUGGUGGUGCAUGGCCGUUCUUAGUUCGUGGAGUGAUUUGUCUGGUUAAUUCCGAUAACGAACGAGACCUUAUUCUGCUAAAUAGGCAGGUCAACUUUUUAGUUGAUUAAUAGAUUUAUCUAUCUGGCUUCUUAGAGAGACUAUCGGCUUCAAGCCGAAGGAAGUUUUAGGCAAUAACAGGUCUGUGAUGCCCUUAG
RNAcentral lists this ribosomal RNA (564 nucleotides) under uncultured eukaryote. RNAcentral describes it as "SSU rRNA". It matches the Rfam family "Eukaryotic small subunit ribosomal RNA", at positions 904 to 1476 of the family's 1831-position model. The record is from RNAcentral.